Molecule: ribosomal RNA, 595 nt
Filed under: uncultured cyanobacterium
Lineage: Bacteria; Bacillati; Cyanobacteriota
Description: bacterial SSU rRNA
Rfam family: Bacterial small subunit ribosomal RNA
Source: RNAcentral
CCAUAUCGGCGGUGGAAACUGAUGAACUAGAGGGUGGUAGGGGUCACGGGAAUUCCCAGUGUAGCGGUGAAAUGCGUAGAUAUUGGGAAGAACACCAGCGGCGAAAGCGCGUGACUGGGCCAUUACUGACACUCAUGGACGAAAGCUAGGGGAGCGAAAGGGAUUAGAUACCCCUGUAGUCCUAGCCGUAAACGAUGGUCACUAGGUGUUGCCCGAUCGACCCGGGCAGUGCCGUAGCUAACGCGUUAAGUGUCCCGCCUGGGGAGUACGCACGCAAGUGUGAAACUCAAAGGAAUUGACGGGGGCCCGCACAAGCGGUGGAGUAUGUGGUUUAAUUCGAUGCAACGCGAAGAACCUUACCAGGGCUUGACAUGUCGCGAAUCCCCUUGAAAGGGGGGAGUGCCUUCGGGAGCGCGAGCACAGGUGGUGCAUGGCUGUCGUCAGCUCGUGUCGUGAGAUGUUGGGUUAAGUCCCGCAACGAGCGCAACCCACGUUUCUAGUUGCCAGCAUUCAGUUGGGCACUUUAGAGAGACUGCCGGUGACAAACCGGAGGAAGGUGUGGAUGACGUCAAGUCAGCAUGCCCCUUACGUCCUG